RNAcentral lists this ribosomal RNA (252 nucleotides) under uncultured bacterium. RNAcentral describes it as "partial 16S ribosomal RNA". It matches the Rfam family "Bacterial small subunit ribosomal RNA", at positions 524 to 776 of the family's 1533-position model. The record is from RNAcentral.
UACGUAGGGUGCAAGCGUUAAUCGGAAUUACUGGGCGUAAAGCGUGCGCAGGCGGUGAUGUAAGACAGAUGUGAAAGCCCCGGGCUCAACCUGGGAAUUGCAUUUGAGACUGCGUAGCUAGGGUGCGGAAGAGGGAAGCGGAAUUUCCGGUGUAGCGGUGAAAUGCGUAGAUAUCGGAAGGAACACCAGUGGCGAAAGCGGCUUCCUGGUCCAGCACCGACGUCAGGCACGAAAGCGUGGGGAGCAAACAGG